UACGUAGGGUGCAAGCGUUGUCCGGAAUUAUUGGGCGUAAAGGGCUCGUAGGCGGUUUGUCGCGUCGGGAGUGAAAACCCAGGGCUUAACUCUGGGCUUGCUUUCGAUACGGGCAGACUAGAGGCAUGCAGGGGAGAACGGAAUUCCUGGUGUAGCGGUGAAAUGCGCAGAUAUCAGGAGGAACACCGGUGGCGAAGGCGGUUCUCUGGGCAUGUCCUGACGCUGAGGAGCGAAAGUGUGGGGAGCGAACAGG
Molecule: ribosomal RNA, 253 nt
Filed under: uncultured bacterium
Lineage: Bacteria
Description: partial 16S ribosomal RNA
Rfam family: Bacterial small subunit ribosomal RNA
Source: RNAcentral